AAAGGUAUCUUUAUUAUGACUUUGGAUAUUGUUAAUAUUUUUUGGAAAUACAAAAACUAAUUUAUUUCCAAACAGCAAGCUAAAGUCGUUUUGAAAUGUUUAUUUUUUUCUGUUCAAAAUAAUAGGAGUUAUAUGAAAAUGUUGUUUAUAAAUAAGAGUCUUGUGGCAUUUAAGUGACAUUUUGAAAAAAAUUAAAUUUUCAGAGUUACAGAAUAUAUUCUGGGUUGUUUUCAGAAUACUAACCUGUUAACUAGGGAAUAAAUUUUUGUUCAACUUGUUUCACUAUGGAGCUUUUCACAGUUAUAAGUAUUGUCAUCACACCUUAAGUAAUCUCCAUGAGGAAAAAUGUCAUGCCCAUUGCAGUACGCUUAAUCCAUAAAAAAGUGGACAUAUUGAUACAAACUUUAAGUUCCUUCAAUAUAUUUGAAAUUUUGAAUAUUAACUUUAAAAAUAUGUAUUAUUUUAUAUUGCAAUGAAAAGGAAGAAAUUUUUUGUCAUUAACUUGCUUAUUUUAAUUUAUAAAGUGACAUUAUGUCUGUUUGGAAAGACAACCAAAAAUCUUUGUUUCAUGGUCUCGUAUAGCUCAAGUAAUUCUGCAAAUAUCUUAACUCAUCUAUACAAUCUGAUAGCCUAUUAUUGAGAGUGUUUGCCUGAAGAAAAGUGUUAACUUAUUUUCAUUACAAAUGAAGGAGUCAUGAAAUGGUCAUGAAAUUCUCGUAAAAAGAUUAAGGAAACCCCUUAAAUAUGCAGACUAUCUGGAAAAGAUGUUUUGACACAUGUUUCUGAAUCUUGGACAAUAACAAAACUGGAGGAAAAUUGUAUCACAAUAUUUGAGAGAAAGAUUUCGGGUAGUAUACUUGGUGGUGUAAAUGAAAACAAUAACUGGAGAAGGAGAUUUAACUUUGAACUGUACAAGAUUUAUAAGCAACCCGAUAUUAUUAAAGACAUAAAAAUAAAUAUAAUGGAUUAGAUGGCCCGUGUGAUUCAAAUGAGUUAUGACAAUACAAUGAGAAAGAUAAUGCUUUUUAGUCCCACUGGAACAAGAAAGCAUCAAAGGCCGCGCUUGAGAUGGGCUGACUCUGUGGAGUCUGUUUUUCUUGCAAUUAAUGAAAAGAAUUGGAGAUAAAUCGGAAGAUGUUAUGGAGAAAUCUUCAGAGGAAGGCAUUGCGCUGUCUGGACAACUAUGAUGAUGAUCUAGAAAAGAGAAGGGAAGAGACAAAAGCAAGGAGGAAAAAAAUUUAAACAAAAAAACAGCCAAGAAGGAAAAACAAUUAAAUUGGCAAAAGAAGAAUAGGAAACAAAGAAAAAUAAUAUUAUUACCUACUGUCUCAUUUAUUAAUAUAUUCGUUAAAAAAAUUCGCUUUUUAUCUAUUUGUGUGUGUCAUUAUUUUGUUAAUCAUACAAGUCAUAUCCUCAACAGGAUAUCACACUUCCAACAAAAACUUUGAAUAUUUCCUACACAAGCAAGAAAUGAGAAAGUAAAUUAAUUUUUUUCAUAGAAUAAUUAUUUAAACGUUAUUGUCUGACAUAAAAGGAGCAUAGUUCACACAGUUGUUAUAAUUCACAGAAUUUUGAGUUUUAGUUCUGAAAGAUGCUUUCAAUUAUAUGCAAACCACGGUUAAAGUUUAUACAAAAUAAUAGUUGGAUUUCGAAAAAAAAUUGUGGUUGAAAUUAAAGAACUACUUGUCACAAACUGUCACAAUUUCAUAAGCACUUCCCCCUUCUAAGCAUGACAUAAUUUAUGGAUGAAUCCUAGAAGAUGAAUUGCAAUUGCAAAUUAUAAUUACCAAGAAUAACUUAAUUACAGCAUCAUCUAAUAUUAUUUUCUCAAACCUUUCAAAACAAUUUUCAUGAAAAUUUAUCCUUUCUGAAAGACUUGGUAAUACCACCUUGUUGUCUAAUUUCAAAAGUCAUAAUUGCCAAAAAUCCAUAAUUUAGUAAAAAUUUUA
This is a long non-coding RNA of Parasteatoda tepidariorum (common house spider), 1949 nucleotides long. The record is from RefSeq and is a predicted model, not a curated record. NCBI's taxonomy places the organism in Eukaryota, Metazoa, Arthropoda, Arachnida, Araneae, Theridiidae.